ACAGGUGAGCUGGCAGGGAAGCCAAAUGAGGGAAGAUGGUAUGUUCACUGACAAGCAAGAGCAGAUCCUUGGCAGACUGAACCAUUUCUUCCUCCUCUUUGAUCCAACUCUUCCUCUCCUGCCUGUUUACUUUCCUGAACACCUCCCUGGACGGGAGAAUCUCUGUUUCUCCCAAUGAACCAUUAAUGUAUGAAACAGAGAAGGAGCAGCCAGUACCUCUCUCAGCUCUCAUUCGGUCUACGGCAGGCAAUGGUAACCAGCAGAGCAGAGAAAUUGCCUGUUAUCAAGAAGGUCGAUUCUUCAUGGAGUUCCAUAAAUUGCUUUGUAUUGAUACCCUGUCAGACCCAGGAUUCUUAUGUUAACGCCCAGACCUGCCCCUGGGUGAACCGACCAUCCCAAACACCAGCCAAGCUCCUGUCCCAUUUUCG
Poecilia latipinna (sailfin molly) is the source of this 428-nucleotide long non-coding RNA. RefSeq lists it as uncharacterized. The record is from RefSeq and is a predicted model, not a curated record. NCBI's taxonomy places the organism in Eukaryota, Metazoa, Chordata, Actinopteri, Cyprinodontiformes, Poeciliidae. The transcript has 3 exons.